AGCAGCGGUGAUGGGUGACCACCGCGCUGUUCCUGCGAUGGGACGCUCUCCAGUUCCGACUCGGGACUCCGGCGGGCUGCCGCUACUGCAGAGUUUCUCGGAGACUGGGCUGGGGGCUGUGCGGGUGGCCAGGGUGGCUCGAAGGCUGCGUGGCCGCGCCUCCGCCUCCCCCUUCUGCGAACCCUAACUACGUGGCUACAUCGCAAAACUCAGGAGCCACUUGGGCCCGGCGUUCGUCUCUACGUGAGUCCCCGGAACCUUUCCACCUCCUCCUGCCGGGAAUAAAAAGCGACCAGGCGCGAGGAUUUCAUUGCAUCCUUGCAGGGACACACCAAAAUCCCAGCGAUGACCCUGACUAACGUUGGAAAGUUACAGCCCACAGCUGAGCUCUUCACCACGCGUCCUUAACCUGCCUCUCCGGAGUUCCUCAGCUCCUAUGGAGAGAAGCAUGGUCAUUUGAGUUUUGAUUUUCUUUUCGAGGGAACUGUGUGCCUGCUAACUGCUGCAAAAGUAAAAUUGCCUAACUUGGGCAUGUUCCUGAUUCUGCACAGACUACCAUGGUUCUUUGAAUAAAGGAUAUUCACCAAAAAAGGUUUUACUGCAGGUAAUACAUCCUGUGUGUUACAACAGGAAGGAAAAUGACAUUUAUAAUACUUCAAUUUGAACAUUUCAGUUUGAAAAGCUAAAUAUUUAAGG
Marmota monax (woodchuck) is the source of this 696-nucleotide long non-coding RNA. RefSeq lists it as uncharacterized. The record is from RefSeq and is a predicted model, not a curated record. Lineage: Eukaryota; Metazoa; Chordata; Mammalia; Rodentia; Sciuridae. The transcript has 4 exons.